RNAcentral lists this ribosomal RNA (253 nucleotides) under uncultured bacterium. RNAcentral describes it as "partial 16S ribosomal RNA". It matches the Rfam family "Bacterial small subunit ribosomal RNA", at positions 524 to 776 of the family's 1533-position model. The record is from RNAcentral.
GACGUAGGGGGCCAGCGUUGCUCGGAAUUACUGGGCGUAAAGGGUCCGUAGGCGGUGCGGUAAGUCGGGAGUGAAAUCUCUGGGCUUAACUCAGAGGCUGCUUCCGAAACUACCGUGCUAGAGUGCGAGAGAGGCAAGUGGAAUUGCGGGUGUAGCGGUGAAAUGCGUAGAUAUCCGCAGGAACAUCCGAGGCGAAAGCGGCUGCUGGAUCGCAACUGACGCUGAGGGACGAAAGCUAGGGGGAGCAAACAGG